UUGCAGGCUGCAACUCGCCUGCAUGAAGUCGGAAUUGCUAGUAAUCGUGGAUCAGCAUGCCACGGUGAAUACGUUCCCGGGCCUUGUACACACCGCCCGUCACACCAUGGGAGUCGGUAACACCCGAAGCCUGUAGUCUAACCGCAAGGAGGACGCAGUCGAAGGUGGGAUUGAUGACUGGGGUGAAGUCGUAACAAGGUAAC
This 203-nucleotide ribosomal RNA is filed under the name uncultured bacterium. Its description in RNAcentral is "partial 16S ribosomal RNA". It matches the Rfam family "Bacterial small subunit ribosomal RNA", at positions 1298 to 1500 of the family's 1533-position model. The record is from RNAcentral.